RNAcentral lists this small RNA (76 nucleotides) under Xanthomonas hortorum. Its description in RNAcentral is "sX9 sRNA". It matches the Rfam family "Xanthomonas sRNA sX9". The record is from RNAcentral. RNAcentral also lists the same sequence under 1 other name. Lineage: Bacteria; Pseudomonadati; Pseudomonadota; Gammaproteobacteria; Lysobacterales; Lysobacteraceae.
AUGUACCACUCGUACACUCCAGCUCCACUGCGACUUCCGCACCCACCUGGCGACAACUCGCUGCGUUUUGUUAUCC